GCAAAUUGUCGAUCGUGGAGACGAGAAUGAAGUUAAAUUUUAUGCCGUUAUUUUAAAGCACUGUUCGCACCAUCUGUCGAAGGGUUCUGAAGUUACCUGUCAGAAAUAUUGACUAUCACCGGCAUUCAACCUCGAUCGAUCUCUCGCGUUCGACCAGAGACAAGGUAUACAGAUUCGACUCAUCGUAUCGGAUUCGUCCGGUUAUUAUGGCGUAGAAUGUUAAGUGAUAUACCAUUUCCUACGAGGAUUUUCAUCAAUUAAAUGUAAUAUUAUCAAUCUGAAAUAUCUGUAUUCUUGUUAAUUAGCGUGAAGGAAGUGAUUCAUGCAAUUGUAGCUAUUCGGUCGCGCCUGCAUCAAAGAAUGCAGAUUCGUUUCAAACGAUACAUUAUCGGCGUCUCGUGCCGGCAUAAAUUUCGACGGGGAAACACACCGUAUAAUAGAACACAUUCACCAGUAUCGAGGUUAAACAUUUUCGAUCGCUGUCCUGUCAACAACAUCUCCACACUAUUCCAUCCAACAUCUACACAUCAGCAUAUCACAUAACACAGUCAUACCAUAUCUCAAAGUUUGUCACGCGAAAAUUAUUGG
Long non-coding RNA from Bombus impatiens (common eastern bumble bee), 588 nucleotides. RefSeq lists it as uncharacterized. The transcript has 2 exons. The record is from RefSeq and is a predicted model, not a curated record. NCBI's taxonomy places the organism in Eukaryota, Metazoa, Arthropoda, Insecta, Hymenoptera, Apidae.